AUGUUCAUGUUAUUUAGUUUGUUCUUAAUGAUAUUAUUUAUGCUUGUAUGGAAAUGUUAGAAUAUUUUGUACAUCUAUGCGUCAUGAUGCAUUAAUAUGUCAUCCUAAAACGUCAUUUAAAAUAAUAUUCCGAGGUUUAUUUUUAAAAAAAAAAAUAGAAGGCAAUGCUUGAUGUUUGGAAACUUCGAGAAAGGUAGUGCCCUAACUUACUGGGUUGCAACUUUUCUCGUUGAAUUCGAAUAGUCAAGCACCCUUCUAAAUGAUGUUGAGUUUUCAAAACUUAAACAAUUAUUUCGAGAUUUCAAAACAUAGUGUCCUAACUUACUGGAUAUGGC
Molecule: long non-coding RNA, 335 nt
Filed under: Gossypium barbadense (sea-island cotton)
Lineage: Eukaryota; Viridiplantae; Streptophyta; Magnoliopsida; Malvales; Malvaceae
Description: long non-coding RNA (GBAR_LNC006616)
Source: RNAcentral